Molecule: non-coding RNA, 56 nt
Organism: Yokenella regensburgei ATCC 43003
Lineage: Bacteria; Pseudomonadati; Pseudomonadota; Gammaproteobacteria; Enterobacterales; Enterobacteriaceae
Source: Rfam
CCCCGUACACUGUGCGGGGCGCGUAUUUCGAUUUACACCCAGGGGGUCUGCUCGUG